RNAcentral lists this ribosomal RNA (690 nucleotides) under Pedospumella sp. RNAcentral's name for it is "eukaryotic LSU rRNA". It matches the Rfam family "Eukaryotic large subunit ribosomal RNA", at positions 113 to 887 of the family's 3401-position model. Lineage: Eukaryota; Chrysophyceae; Chromulinales; Chromulinaceae. The record is from RNAcentral.
ACUGAAAAUCUUCGGAAUUGUAKUCUGGAGAAKUAUGGUCAGCCGAUGAUGAUGAGUGAAGUCUUCUGGAAAGGAGCGCCUUGGAGGGUGAUAGCCCCGUUCAUACUUAUCAUUARAAGCGUACGACCUGCUUUCUACGAGUCGUGUUGUUUGGGACUGCAGCACUAAGUGGGUGGUAAAUUCCAUCUAAAGCUAAAUAUUGGUGGGAGACCGAUAGCGAACAASUACCGUGAGGGAAAGAUGCAAAGAACUUUGAAAAGAGAGUUAAAUAGUACCUGAWAUUGCUGAARUGGAACCGAUGGGAAGCAGUGUCGGUGGCGGGUAUUUAUACCUGUCACAAGCCAKGCUUCUUUUCUAGUGCGGGAAAGGCUGAUAAACUAKUUUAKGUUAUCUACGCCGUCGUGCUGGCGAAGGACUCUGACGAAAUGCUUCUCAUCACCCCYGUCUUGAAACACGGACCAAGGAGUCUAACAUGUGUGCGAGUGCUCGGGGUCAACCCCCCAGCGCGAAAUAAACGUAAAGGGGAAUUUAUUCCCUUAGGUAGGAUCCUUAGGUGCACUAUCGACCGACCAUGAUCCUCCGGGAGAAAGGUUUGAGUGUGAGCAUACAUGUUGGGACCCGAAAGAUGGUGAACUAUGCUUGAGUAGGGCGAAGCCAGGGGAAACUCUGGUGGAGGUCCGCAGCGAUUCU